GUCAGAGUAACAGAUCCGGACUGCUCUCUCAGGACUCAAUUUAGAGACGGGCGAGUGAUCCUAACAGGAAUUUCUGAAUCAAGGAGGACAGACAUCUGGCCUGCUUUGUUGAGAGCCAAAGAAAAAAAUCAGGAUUGCAUCCUCAGAGAAAUACUGUCCGUGGAUCACCUCUUCUGUCUGCGGCAGUGAAUAAGGCACCAUGCUGGGACUGAGGGAGCAGACGGCACUCUCAGUUCUCUGUCUGUCUCUGCUGGCUCGCUUCUGGACUGUAAACGGACUGACAGAACACAGCAACUCAGAGAUCAGCCACACAGCCUCAGACCAACAUGUGGAGGACAGAAGAGCAGAUCUUCCGCAGGUGAAGAUAAUCCCACCCUAUGCAAAGAUUCAAGUUGGACAAUACAAACUAUUGAUGUGCAAAGGUGAGAAGACAGUUUAACCUUAAAAUAAUAGUUCUGUUAUCAUUUACUC
RNAcentral lists this long non-coding RNA (471 nucleotides) under Sinocyclocheilus grahami. Its description in RNAcentral is "lncRNA (ENSSGRG00000025337.1)". Lineage: Eukaryota; Metazoa; Chordata; Actinopteri; Cypriniformes; Cyprinidae. The record is from RNAcentral.